UCAGUUUUCUAUUUGAUACUGUCUUCUCUAGAUCCAAGUUUUCUUCAUUUGUAAAGAUAGUGCACUGAGUCACAUUUUUAACUUUUUGGUUCUUUCUUGCCUAGUUUUGAACAUGAUUUCUCUCCAGGGAGAAUUCCUUAUAUUGGAACGAAUAGUGUUCCUGAAUUUUUUUCAGACUGUUUUCUUAGGCUUUUUUUUUUUUAAUAAAAAAAAAAAAAAAAAGACAACAGCUACAACAGUUUUACCAUGAAUUCCAUUGUUUGGAAUGAAAAGGGUUGCUUUAAGAAAAAAAAAGAUUAAACAAACUGAGGGCUGAUGUGGUGUGGGUGGGGGGAUGGGUUAAAUGGGUGAUGGGCAUUAAGGAGGGCCCUUUUUGGUUUGAGCACUGGGUUAUGUGUAAGAGAUGAAUUCCUGGGUUCUACUCCUGGAGCCAAGACUAUAGUGUAUGUUAAUGAAAUUGAGAAUAAAAAAACAAAGAAAACAGAUUAGUCUUUCCAAAUUGGAAUUAAUUUUGCCUCAAAGACUAGGUGAUGGGUGACCAGAUACAUCAUGUAACUAUGAUAAAAUACUGUCUAGAUACUUUUGAGCAAUUGAAAAAAAAAAUUUUUUUUUAAAGUUUAUUUUUGAGAGUGAGAGAGAGAGUGCAAGCAGGGAGGGGCAGAGAGAGAAGGAGACACAGAAUCCAAAGCAGGUUCCAGGCUCUGAACUGUCAGCACAGAGCCCGACACGGGGCUCGAACCACAAACUGUGAGAUUGUGACCUGAACCGAAGUUGGAUGAUUAACAGACUGAGCCACCCAGGCACCCCUUGAGUGAUUUUUUUUUAUCUGUUUUCCCCAUAUUUUAUAUUUUCCAGGAACUUCUAGGGAUAUCAUACAUUUUGAACUAGGAUUUUGCUUAAAGUUCUUUCUUGGGGGCGCCUGGUAGAAGGUGGGAGUGGAAAGGUUGAUUUUUUUUUUUUUUUAUAGUAGUUAUGGAAAAAUGGAUUUUUGUCUCAGGCACACAGAGUAUGAUGUAGGUUUGCUUUAAUGUGAUAGUGGAAAUGAGAUGCAAUUUUUGGAGAGUUGGCUAUUUUGGAAUUACCUCAUUUCAAAUUGUAGGUGUAACAGUAUUUGGAAUCAGUUUUGGAGGAUCCAGUUAACUUUUGUCCAGAAGAGACUCUUGCUUUUCCACUAAAUACAGGCUUUCUAAAUUAAAAAAAAAAAAAAUUUUUUUUUAACAUUUAUUCAUUAUUGAGAGACAGAGAGACAGAGCACAAGCAUGGGAGGGGCAGAGAGAGGGGAAGACACAGAAUCUGAAGCAGGCUUCAGGCUCCAAGUGGUCAGCACAGAACCUGAUGUGGGGCUCGAACCCAUGAGCAGUGAGAUCAUGACCUGAGCCAAAGUCGGACACCCAACCGACUGAGCCACCCAGGUGCCCCAGGUUUUCUAAAUUUUAGGAAAUAUUGAGUGCCUCCUAUAUGUUAGCUAUUGUGCUAAGCCCUGGAGGUACUCUGGACAAAUAAAUAGGAUCCUGCCGUCAUGGGCAUGGGUGAUGGGGAAAAAAACAGAUGCUAAACAAACAAGUCACUACUAACUGUGGUAAAGGUCUAGAUAGGAAAGUAUAGAAUAUGAUGAUGAGGCCUGGGUGGGGACACCUAAUUUAAAUUGGAUGUGUGGUGGGGAUGGAAGAUACUCUUAAAGAAGUGCAAUGUAAGUUAGGCCCUGGAGGAUGAGUAGAAAUUUACAUGGAGGUGGUGGGUGGGUCUAAGGAAGAGCUGAUCCAGGAGCUGAUCAGGAACAAGUGAUGAAGACCUGAAGCAUUUAAAAGAGCUUGGUACACUUGCCUGAGAAGAUCAUAACUAGUCUUGAGCCGUUUGAGAGAAUGUUGUGAGAUAGAUGGACUGGAGUGAGGCAGGACUUUGUAAAUCAUGUUAAAGGGUUUUUAUUUAGGUGCAGUAGGAGUUGAUAGAAUUUAAAAUUUAAAAGUAUGAUUGCCUUUUUUUGUGGAGAAUGGAUUUAUCUGAGAAGGGGAAGAGAAGAAGCAGGGUGUUACUUAGGUUAUUGCAAUAUUAUUCCAUGGGGGAGUUGAUGUUGCUCUCCACUAGUGUUGUAUCAUGCGGGGGGCAGUGUGGGUGGCUUUGAGAUAAAUUUUGGAGUUUUAAAUUAGGAGCAUCCAAGUUGAUGUUGAUCAUAGGCUUUGGAAUAAGAUGAAAAGCUUAUUUUUAUAUUUAGUGGGAUUAUUACAGUAGAAAGGGUACAACCUUAAAGCUCUGGAAAGAAAAUGUUACUGGCGUGCCAAACAUUAUGAAAGAAUUGGGCUAUACUUUCCAAAAAGAACAGUGUAUAGGAUAGAAAAAUGAAUUACUUAUGAAAUAAUUUCUUUGUGUGAAUUGUUUAUAUGACCCUUUUUGUGGCCCUAGUUCCUAAUAAAACAGAAAUAUUAGAAAUUUGAAGAGACCAAAUUGUCUAUUAUUAGCUGCCUUUGAGAGAGCAAAAGCUGAAAGUAUGUACUUUCUGGUUAACUGGGAGAUCAAUAAUUGAUACUUGUGCGAGGAAAGUAUUCCUAUGAAGUUCUUGUUUUUGCAUGUUAUGUAGAGCUAAUUAUAGCAGGUGGAUCUUGGAUCUUUUGGAUUCAAAGAAAAGGCAAGUUACUUUGUUAACUAAAGUUCAGACUGCUUAUCCCAUUUACCCUCUUAUGUUGAAUUGCAGAAAUCAUGAAAAUAGUUCCUUAGAAUCACUAAUGAGCUAAAAUACAAUUUUGUAUACAAAGUGGGUAGACUAUUUGACAGGAACUUUAUGCCAUUAGGUUCUAAAUUAAAAAAAAAAUUUUUUUUUUAAUGUUUAUUUUUGAGAGAGAGAAGCAAGUGUGGGAGGGGCAGAGGGAGACACAGAAUCUGAAGCAGGCUCCAGGCUCUGAGCUGUCAGCACAGAGCCCAAGGUGGGGCUCGAACCCAUGAAUUGUGAGAUCAUGACCUUAGCCGAAGUCAGCACUUAACCAACUGAGCUACCCAGGCACCCCUGAAUUGGGUUUUCUACAUUAAAACAUUUUUUUCUUGACUUAACAAGAUACAUGUUUGUUGUAACAAAAAAACACUAUGUUGCUAAAGUUUCUUGUCCUUCUCAUUAUUUUUAUUUGUUGUGUAUCCUUGUAUACCUUUUUUCCAGACUUCUGCAAAUAUACAUAGGGGAGUGGGUGUGUUUAAACAAAUAGGAUCAUACUAUAUUUUGUAAAAUUUCUACACCUAUAUUUUAGACAUCCAUAGAUAGGAAUCUACCUUCUUAAAUGUGUAAUUAUAAAAAAAAAAUUAUUUAUUUUGAGAGGGAGAGAGAGAGAGAAAGAGGGUGCUAGUGGGGUAGGGGCAAAGAGAGGGGAGAGAGAAUCCCAAGCAGUCUUUGUGUUCUGUGCUGAGCUGGACUUUGGGCUCAAUGUAACCACCCUCAGAUCAUGACCUGAGCUGAAAUCAACAGUCGGACGCUUAACCAAUUGACCCACCCAGGCGCUCCUGUACUUCUAUUUCUGUUGGAUAGAGUUCCAGAUGUGAAAUUGCUGGGGCAUAGAAUAUGCAGUUGACCCUGUAUAUCAGUGUGCAGUUCAGGGGUGCUGACUUCUGUGCAGUCAAAAAUCUGUAUGUCAAAAAAGAUUCCAAUAACUUCACUGCUAGUAGCCUACUGUUGACCAGAAGCCUUACUGAUAACGUAAAUGGUCGAUUAACACUUAAUUUUGUAUAUAUGUUCUAUUUAAAGUAAGUUAGGCAAAAGAAAAUCUUACUAAGAUCAUAGAGGAAAUACAUUUAUACCACUGUACUGUAUCAAAAAAUCCAUGCAUAACUGGACCCACACAUUUCAAACCUGUGUUCAGGGGUCAGCUGUAUAUGCUUAAAGUACUGCUGCCAGGAUACUUUACACAAAUAUAAAGGAUUAAUUUGUAACAGGAAGAUAAGUGAUUUCUCUCACUGGAAUUGUGAGGAUUGUAAUGAGUUAAAAGUAUGCAACGUUUUUAAGACAAAGCCAGACACAGUAAAUAUUGUCAAGUAUUUUCUAGUAUUGCUGUUACUACCUUUUUGUAUUUUUUUAAUUAAUCCUAUUCAUUAGUGGAUUAUGUUAGGAUAAUAAAAUGAAGCUAUUGAAGUUUGCCUUAAGGGUUCAUAAUUUGCAGCUUUUAAUGUGCAAAUCUUAAUGCCUCAAGAAUUUGCUGUGUUGGGGGUUCCUGGGUAGCUCAGUAGGUUACUUGUCUGACUCUUGAUCUUGCUCAGGUCUUUAUCUCAGGCUCAUGAGGUUAAGCUCCACUUUGGGCUUCACACUGGGUGUGGACUUUACUUAAAAAAGAAAAGGGGUGCCUGGGUGGCUCAGUUGGUUGACUGUUCGACUUCAGCUCAGGUCAUAAUCUUGCUCAUGUCAUGAUCUCAUGGUGAGUUUGAGCCCUGUACGGGCUCUCUGUCAGCACAGAGCCUCCUUCGGAUCCUCUGUCCUUCCUCUCUGCUCCUCCCCUGCUUGAGUUUUCUCUGUCUCUGUCUCUGUCUCUCUCUCUUUC
Acinonyx jubatus (cheetah) is the source of this 4511-nucleotide long non-coding RNA. RefSeq lists it as uncharacterized. The transcript has 2 exons. The record is from RefSeq and is a predicted model, not a curated record. Lineage: Eukaryota; Metazoa; Chordata; Mammalia; Carnivora; Felidae.